Molecule: long non-coding RNA, 557 nt
Organism: Mastomys coucha (southern multimammate mouse)
Lineage: Eukaryota; Metazoa; Chordata; Mammalia; Rodentia; Muridae
Exons: 4
Source: RefSeq, a predicted model, not a curated record
AAACUUCAGGCCCUUCUACCACCUUGGAAUCCAUGCAGCAAACUUCCGUGGGAAGGGGAGCUAUGGAGUGAGUUGUCCCAUUAUUCCGAAUUUACAAGAAAGGAAUGUGAGAAAACAGCCAACUAGAUGGCCUGGAUGGAGAGACACAGGCCUAUGCCUACUUUGGGGUACCACAUAACGCCACUGCCCUCAUCUCUGACUCCAGACCAUAGAGACACAUUCAAAGGAGUCUUUCUUUGAAGAAGAAGAAGAAAAAAAGGCAUCAUCUUUGGACUUGAGCAGAUAGAACCUGAAGUCCAUGUUCUACAUUAUCUCUGGACCAGUGGAGCUGGGGAAAUGUCCUUAUUCACUCCUCCCAACUAACAACAGCAUGGGGUUGUUUGAAGUUGGGCUUCCUAUUGGAAGAGCGCUGGGUUCCACUCUUGACUCCAGUAGACAAGAAGGGGGCGAGAAAGACGGCCACACUGUCAAGAGUCCUUGCUGUUCCUCACAGGACCCCAGUUGAGACCCCAGCACCCACCUCAUGGCUCAGAACUAAAGAACUGUAACUCCAGUUU